RNAcentral lists this ribosomal RNA (253 nucleotides) under uncultured bacterium. Its description in RNAcentral is "partial 16S ribosomal RNA". It matches the Rfam family "Bacterial small subunit ribosomal RNA", at positions 524 to 776 of the family's 1533-position model. The record is from RNAcentral.
UACGUAGGGUGCAGGCGUUAAUCGGAAUUACUGGGCGUAAAGCGUGCGCAGGCGGUUUGCUAAGACAGGUGUGAAAUCCCCGGGCUUAACCUGGGAACUGCGCUUGUUACUGGCAAGCUGGAGUGUGGCAGAGGGGGGUGGAAUUCCACGUGUAGCAGUGAAAUGCGUAGAGAUGUGGAGGAACACCGAUGGCGAAGGCAGCCCCCUGGGCUAACACUGACGCUGAGGCGCGAAAGCUAGGGGAGCAAACAGG